Molecule: transfer RNA, 72 nt
Filed under: Cytobacillus firmus
Lineage: Bacteria; Bacillati; Bacillota; Bacilli; Caryophanales; Bacillaceae
Also listed under: 2 other names
Description: tRNA-Val
Rfam family: tRNA
About the family: Transfer RNA (tRNA) molecules are approximately 80 nucleotides in length. Their secondary structure includes four short double-helical elements and three loops (D, anti-codon, and T loops). Further hydrogen bonds mediate the characteristic L-shaped molecular structure. tRNAs have two regions of fundamental functional importance: the anti-codon, which is responsible for specific mRNA codon recognition, and the 3' end, to which the tRNAs corresponding amino acid is attached (by aminoacyl-tRNA synthetases). tRNAs cope with the degeneracy of the genetic code in two manners: having more than one tRNA (with a specific anti-codon) for a particular amino acid; and 'wobble' base-pairing, i.e. permitting non-standard base-pairing at the 3rd anti-codon position.
Source: RNAcentral
GGAGGAUUAGCUCAGCUGGGAGAGCAUCUGCCUUACAAGCAGAGGGUCGGCGGUUCGAUCCCGUCAUCCUCC